Populus nigra (black poplar) is the source of this 1362-nucleotide long non-coding RNA. RefSeq lists it as uncharacterized. NCBI's taxonomy places the organism in Eukaryota, Viridiplantae, Streptophyta, Magnoliopsida, Malpighiales, Salicaceae. The record is from RefSeq and is a predicted model, not a curated record. The transcript is spliced from 2 exons.
CAAAACGCUCAGAAACACCGCCAUGUUACUUCGAACCCAGGCAUUCGAGGUCUUUGACCUUGAGCUCUUCCCAUGUUAAUGAUUCCUGUCUCUUUUACCGCAAUCAGUGCUGAUCAAGUCGUCAUAAAUGGCUGGCUAGACUGUGUCCUACACCUCUCCCACUUGCCCCUUAUCCUUCAUUAGCUCCUGCUGCCUGCAAUUAAUAAUAGCCCCCUCGAAGGAUUUCUUCUGUAGCUUCAACAGUAUACGCAUUAUUUUCUGCAGUAUACAAAACCCUUUUAGCAUACAAAGUACAAACUGAUCAUCAUUUCUAACCAUUUACGAAAAAAUAAUGGCUGAGGUUGUGCUCUUCGAUAUUACGGAGGAAAUAAUAAACAGGCUAUGUUCCCUAACUGCUCAGGAGGUCGCACCAUGGUGGGGGGCUCAAGGAUCAAUUAAUUACAGAAGCUCAACGACACCAUCACCAGGAUUAAGGCUGUGAUUCAAGAUGCCGAGGAGACUGCCGAUUACGCGGGAAUAAUAGAAACUUCAGAGGGAGCAAAAGCCAGGGCUCUCUGCCUAAUGCUAAUGUGCGUUCAGAAAUUAAGGAUCUUGAACAAGUUCGGAAGAAGAGGCAGAAGAAGGCAGACAGAUUUUCUUAUACGAAGAACAGAGGUUCAAAGAGUAGAAAGUUUGGUAAAAAUGGAAAAAAAGGGGGCAAAGCUAAGAAGUAAAAGCUGUCAGAUUUGAUCACAUCUUGAGGCACGUCAUCUUUAAGAACAAGGAUGCAGGAACUAUGAAGAGGUUCAUAUUCGGAUUGCCUCAUGAUUCUUUUCAAGAGGGCGUUUGAGAAGAAAAUUCGAAAGGGGCAUUGCAAAAAUUAAUUUUGAUCUCAACAAAUGUCCGUAAGCUAUUUAUAUGGAGAGCAUAGUUUGUAAGCACACUGUUUUCAGACCAAACGCCACAUUUAGAUUCUCCAUCCGUUCAGUAGUUGAGUUUUCCGAUGGGUGCCAGGCCUACGAGCCCAAUGGCAGGAGAAGCUCCCCCUAAAGACCAAUAUGUAAAAUCUCUGGCAGCGGUAGACUCUUUGGUAUUUUGAGCUGAAAAGUUUGCACAUAUGUUGGGAAAAAUCCAACUCAGGUCUUAGAAAAGUCCAAAUUUUGAUCUUGCAAAUGAUAAAUUGUUGCAGAAAGUUAAAAGUAAUCCCAGAUGUGGACUUGUAUAAACCAAUGGAAACUUUGAAGUGGGAAAUUAGAUAGCUUGUUAGCUACCUGUUUGUUUCCGUGCUAUUGUUUUCAGUACUCUCUCCUCAUUGUAUUGCUUUUGUAGUAGGGUGAGCACCCACUUUGUGCCUUUUGAUAAUGGAACUUUGAUUUAGGUGCU